RNAcentral lists this microRNA precursor (61 nucleotides) under Pristionchus pacificus. RNAcentral describes it as "mir-8364 microRNA precursor family". It matches the Rfam family "mir-8364 microRNA precursor family". The record is from Rfam by way of RNAcentral. Lineage: Eukaryota; Metazoa; Nematoda; Chromadorea; Rhabditida; Neodiplogasteridae.
UCUUCACUUUGCGCACUGUCUCACCGGUCAGAGUGGCGAGAGAGUGUGAGAAAUGGAGAGA